Molecule: long non-coding RNA, 1242 nt
Organism: Onychomys torridus (southern grasshopper mouse)
Lineage: Eukaryota; Metazoa; Chordata; Mammalia; Rodentia; Cricetidae
Exons: 3
Source: RefSeq, a predicted model, not a curated record
GAAGAAACAUUGUGUAGGAGAUGGCCCCGUGAUCUUAAAAGCAGCUGUGCAGGAAGUGGCAGCAAGCAAGGACCUCUCUCUGCCUUCUAAUCUUGGCCCCGUGUCAUUUAUUCAUCCUUCAUUCAGUUCUGCGUCCUUCCUUCCAUUUAUUUUUUCACCAUUUUACGCUACCACGAAGACAAGUUUUUAACAUGUCCAUCCUGUGAAGAAGAGAUUGGGGUCUCUAAGAAAAAGAGAUUCUCCUGGACAAGUCUUCUUGUUUUCUAUUUUUUUAACCUAAGAAAUUCCCAAGGAAAUCGGGGCCCUUUGGGGAACCCUUUUUAAAGCUAAGAGGGCUUGCCAGAAGAGCAGUUUAUAGGGAGAGAGGAGAUAAGAGGUCGUGAACGUAGUCUGGAACACUGGAAACAGGAAAGUGGUUGAUAUUAACAGAGCCUAGCAGGACCUCUCCUGGAGGUGUGCUCCCCUCCAAGAAUCCUGCUCACACCCAUCCCCGACUCCUCAAAACACCUUCUUGAGGUACCUAGGGCCAGUCCUAAGAACGUUUACUCUGCUUGCCGUGAACGAACCACCCCAAAGUUGGGGAAUGGUUUCACCCACUUGUCCUUUAGUUUCCUUUUCUCUAAGUGCCUAGAGGUACUUUCCACAACUGCAUUGAUCUUGGCAGGAAUCGACAUCAUGUUACUCGUUUCACAGAACAUCCUGACAGAAAGCAACUGUGAGGAGAAAGGAGUUUAUUUGGCUUACAAGUCCAAGUUCAAGGCAGCCUUAUGGGGGAGUCCAGACAAGAACUUCAAACAGCUGGUUACCUCACAUCUACAGACAAGAGGAGGGCAAAACGUAAAUGCAUUGGAGCAUCUGGAAAGGGCUGGACCAACAAAGGAAGACCCUCUCUGAAUGUGACUGGAACCAUCCCAUUGGCCAGGCUCCCAGGCUGAACAAGAAGGGGGAAAUGAGAAAGCAAGUUGAACACCCAUGUUCAUUGCUCUGCUCAGGACCGUGGACAGUGUGGUCAGCUGCCUCUCAGUCUGUCUGUCAUUCACCUUUCAUUUGUUUUCUUGUAGCAAUGGAAAUCAGUAACUAAUACCUGUAUGUGGUCUAUAUUGAUCUUUCUGGUGAGGAUGAGUAAGAGAAAGGAAUAGUCCAUAAUCCAGAGAAUGUUGGUUAAGGUGUUUGAUGAGAUUGGGAGGGAUUCAGCAAAGUGUAAGGGUUCAUAGACAGGUAGUAAGGUACAAGAAUGACAGG